This is a small nucleolar RNA of Sorex araneus (European shrew), 104 nucleotides long. RefSeq annotates it as small nucleolar RNA U13. Lineage: Eukaryota; Metazoa; Chordata; Mammalia; Eulipotyphla; Soricidae. The transcript has a single exon. The record is from RefSeq and is a predicted model, not a curated record.
AUCCUUUUCCGGUUCGUGAGCAUGAUGUUUGGGUGUUCACACCACUGUGUGACAUGUGCCUCCCCUAAGUCUUGUUUCGCAUGUGGCACAUUACCUAUCUGAAA